GGAUGUGAGGGUGAUCAAGCUGCAAAAUUUGUCACUCCAUUGGUUUUCAGGUUUAAUUCAGCUGAUCUGUCUAGGUAGGCAGAUGUUCCUUUCCUCCCUCAGUGCCCCAUGUGCAUUCAUCAUGAAACUAUACACUUGAUCAAAGAGGGCAAGUACCCCAAAUAGAGGAAGACUGUUUCUCAGUGAAGAGUGUAGGGGUAGCUCUACUCCCUUGAUAGAGCCUCCAAAGAAGCUCUCUAGAAGAUGCUGUUCAGUCCUAUGACAGUGAUGACUUGGAGAUUGCUUUAUAGCCAAAAGACAAGGAUAAGAAUAGACCAACCUGGAACAAUUU
Molecule: small nuclear RNA, 331 nt
Filed under: Octodon degus (degu)
Lineage: Eukaryota; Metazoa; Chordata; Mammalia; Rodentia; Octodontidae
Description: 7SK RNA (ENSODEG00000023303.1)
Rfam family: 7SK RNA
About the family: 7SK was discovered as an abundant small nuclear RNA in the mid-70s but a possible function has only recently been suggested. Two independent studies have found that 7SK RNA binds the CDK9/cyclin T complex (known as elongation factor P-TEFb). P-TEFb activates transcription by phosphorylating the C-terminal domain of RNA polymerase II.
Source: RNAcentral